This 18-nucleotide ribosomal RNA is filed under the name Dictyosphaerium sp. CCAP 222/51. RNAcentral describes it as "partial 28S ribosomal RNA". The record is from RNAcentral. RNAcentral also lists the same sequence under 2 other names. Lineage: Eukaryota; Viridiplantae; Chlorophyta; Trebouxiophyceae; Chlorellales; Chlorellaceae.
UCGACCUGAGCUCAGGCA